RNAcentral lists this unclassified non-coding RNA (1228 nucleotides) under Hevea brasiliensis (rubber tree). Lineage: Eukaryota; Viridiplantae; Streptophyta; Magnoliopsida; Malpighiales; Euphorbiaceae. The record is from RNAcentral.
GGUGAUUGAUUGUAAACAGUAUCACACAAAAUCCAAUGAUCACCUUAAACAACUGCAUUUAAGCUCUGAAAAAUGCCAUUCUACCGUGCAACGAGUAGAAGUAGGUAUAUACCAGAUUUUCAUUAAAAUAAGGGGUUAAUAUAUAUCAUCUACAUAUCAACUUUUCUUUUCUACUCAUUAUUAUUUAUUUUCUUCCAUGUUUACAUUAUCUAUUUACGAGAAAGAACCAAAGUGGAGAGAGACAGAAAAAGAAAAAGAUAGUAAAUAUUAGAUGGUAAAGAAAAGUGAUCAUUAUUAAUUGCCGGAAAAUAGCUGAUCUCUUGAUACCACGCCUUCACCUAAUCCUCUCGAGUGUUUUAGCUAGCAGAAGCUAAGCUAGUUGUCAUACAAAAAAAUGUCACUUGAAGCGUUGCUAUUAUUUUGUUAAUCAUGUGAUCUUGCAUCUAAUAUCUUGACAAAUAGCUUGCACCAACUUGCCUUGGAGGAUGCAUUAAUUCUUUGCCGGCCGCCGGAGAGCAUGCAACCUUAGCCAGAAAUCGAAAAGGGUAGCAAAAAUAACAUCUUCAUCUUCAUCAUCAUCUACCCCACAUGCCAUGGUACGGUGACUCAAAAGCAGUACCAGUCUUUUGCAGCUUUAAGUCCUUAUAGAACUUCUUGAUGAACUCUUCAGCUGCCUUGUCCACUUGGCUGUCUCCCUCAUCCUUUAAAGGAAAUGGUGAAUCAGUUAUUCUCAGUUGCCUCACCAUUGGGCUCUUUCCAAACCCAGGCAACACCAUAGGUGAAGCCUCCACCACCUCACUGUUCAACAUCUCAAGCAUCUUCUGCAUCUUCUGCACCGCAGCCACAGUGGUGACAUCGUCGUAUUUGUAAGACUUGGCGAAAUGGAAGUGUUGAUGGUGGUGCUUGCGCUUGUGGGCAAGGAAAGGGUUGAUAGUUGCAGGGCUAUUGCUGCAGCUGAAUUCGUAUUCUCGUGGGGAGAUGAAGGAAAGAGCAUCAUUGGAACGACAACUGAAGGAGGACUUAUGGUGGUGGUACAUGAGGUUGCCUAUGGCCUUCCCUGCUAGCUUAUUACCCCUUUUGAGCAUCAAAUGUAGAUCCACCAUUAUUCUGCUCUUUGAUAUGCCUUUUCUUAGCAUGAAGAAUACCACACGUAUUAUGUGCCAUAUUUUUUUGGCCACUUGUGGUGUGCUUGGCUCCAUCUCCAUGAGAGUUUUUUUUUUUUUUUUUU